This 22-nucleotide transfer RNA is filed under the name Sicista betulina (Northern birch mouse). RNAcentral's name for it is "partial tRNA-His". Lineage: Eukaryota; Metazoa; Chordata; Mammalia; Rodentia; Dipodidae. The record is from RNAcentral.
GUAAAUAUAGUUUAAUAAAAAC